GCAACCCCCGGCUCGCUCGGAUUAGCAAACAUUCCAUCUGUCAAGGAAGCGACUUUAAAACACAUGAAAACAUCGAGUGAAGAACUCUGGAAGUUAAUCUUUUUUUAUAAACGUGUGGACUAGUCUGAGCUUCAGACGAAGACUACAAUGUUUGUUUUUAUAUGAAGAGGAUUUCCGGUGGUUUUGUCGCCGUGUGAAGGAUGGCAGGUAUUUUAAGGUUUCUGAAGCUGGGGCUGCAGGUCGACGUCCUGAGAGAAACUGGACGUCAGUAUCCGGUUUUCUGCUUCCUGCUGCUGUCCAUGAUCUCCGUGACGGUGCUGCUCAACAGGUAUAUCCACAUCCUGAUGGUGUUCUGGUCCUUCCUGGCUGGCGUCAUCACUUUCUACUGCUCC
Labrus bergylta (ballan wrasse) is the source of this 392-nucleotide non-coding RNA. The record is from RefSeq and is a predicted model, not a curated record. Lineage: Eukaryota; Metazoa; Chordata; Actinopteri; Labriformes; Labridae.